Pecten maximus is the source of this 1374-nucleotide long non-coding RNA. RefSeq lists it as uncharacterized. Lineage: Eukaryota; Metazoa; Mollusca; Bivalvia; Pectinida; Pectinidae. The transcript has 2 exons. The record is from RefSeq and is a predicted model, not a curated record.
GAUAAACUACUGUUUAAACUAACAAGUGGAGAUUUUAUAUUAAAACAGUAUCGUGAAUUAUCAUGUCGGUGAUGAAUUAAUAGGGUUUAAGUUAGAAUUAGUCUUUACCAAUACAAACACGUCCUGAUUAAUAAUGGAAAUUAAUACAAUAUAACUGUUGAAAUUGAUUGAUGAGAGAACAUCUGUAUCAUAGACAAUAGUGUAGGUAUUGUUUACUCCUAAGUUAUAUACAUGUAGACAAUAGUGUAGGUAUUGUUUACUAAGUUAUAGACAAUAGUGUAGGUAUUGUUUACUCCUAAGUUAUAUAGAUAAUGGAGCGACUGUUCGAGGUCACCUAAAGUACUCGCGUGUUUUUCUCCACGGUUGAUUACUAUUACAGUUCAUUGCUCUGAGUGUAAGGGGGUAAACUCGAUCACGUGGCGGACCCAAGGCCACAGAGCACGCGGUCGUCUCUCGCGCCUGGACUUGUGAGGGCUGUUUUUAUGGUUUUCAGUGUAACGGUUUAUUUGUAAUUAACGUAAGAUACUGAGAUUUAUCUUAAAAUGUACAGAACCUACAGAAUGUAUAUACCUAUAGGUGUUACGCCCAAUCAGUACAAGUAUGUAAACAAGGUACAACUAUAUUACCAAGCAUGUAGAUUUAGUUAUCAACAGUUUUAUUGCUAAGAUUGAUUUAGAUUAAUUUUACUCAAUAUAGAACUGCUAUUACAGCUAACAUCAUUUGUCACAUACUUAUACGAUAAAGGUAGGCCUACAUGUUUUAUACCUUCUAAAAAGCAUGUUACAUGAGCAGAUCAGAUUGUUUGUCACCCAAGUUUUGUCAUUUGAGAACGGCUGUAAUUAUUUAUCGUAAAUCUUCCCACGUGUUGAAUUUGUCCUGAAAACAUGAUUUACGUUUUGCUAGUUUAAUUUUGACAAUUAAUCUUGUUGUGAAUGGAAUGAAUAUAUUUAAAAGACUUUGGGUCAAGAAUGAAAAAGUAACACAAAUAUCCCAAUAAUGGCAAGCAGUAAACCAGAGCAGAGAUCUAGAUCUCUGACCAGGGGGAUAAAAUUGAAGAUAUUGAAAAACAAAACAAAAACCAAUAAGAUGUACGUUUGUUAUACAAGUUAUAUAAUAUACAUGUAUACUCACAUCUGGACUGCGGCAAAUCAGGUCUGUGAUCUCUGCUUCUGUUUGUUGUUGACCAGUUUCUGGACGGCCUUUCGGGUGUGUCCGGUGGGGUCGUGUACGUUCGUAUGGAGACUGGCCUCUCGCUUACUCCGGCCCUUACCGCUAUGACUAUAAUGGAUGUACUUGUGUUGUUCAACACUAUACAUGUCAAUAUCGUCCAAGUAAUUAGCUACAAAAUAGUCAGACAUUUCGACCACGAACUUU